GGGCGUAUGGUCUAGUGGUACGACGUCUCAUUUGCAUUGAGAAGGUCCCGGGUUCGAACCCCGGUACGUCCA
Molecule: transfer RNA, 72 nt
Filed under: Podospora anserina S mat+
Lineage: Eukaryota; Fungi; Ascomycota; Sordariomycetes; Sordariales; Podosporaceae
Description: tRNA-Ala (TGC) (tRNA-Ala-TGC-2-1)
Rfam family: tRNA
About the family: Transfer RNA (tRNA) molecules are approximately 80 nucleotides in length. Their secondary structure includes four short double-helical elements and three loops (D, anti-codon, and T loops).
Source: RNAcentral